Molecule: ribosomal RNA, 495 nt
Filed under: uncultured bacterium
Lineage: Bacteria
Description: partial 16S ribosomal RNA
Rfam family: Bacterial small subunit ribosomal RNA
Source: RNAcentral
GACGAACGCUGGCGGCGUGCCUAAUACAUGCAAGUAGAACGCUGAAGGAGUAGCUUGCUUCUCUGGAUGAGUUGCGAACGGGUGAGUAACGCGUAGGUAACCUGCCUGUUAGCGUGGGAUAACUAUUGGAAACGAUAGCUAAUACCGCAUAAUAUUUACUAUUGCAUGGUAGUCGUUUGAAAGUUUCAGCUGCAGCGCUUCCAGAUGGACCUUCGUUGUUUGUGCUAGGUGGUGGGGUAACGGCUCACCAUGGCGACGAUACGUAGCCGACAGGAGAGGGGGAUCGGCCACACUGGGACUGAGACACGGCCCAGACUCCUACGGGAGGCAGCAGUAGUGCAUCUUCGGCAAUGGACGGAAGUCUGAGCGAGCAACGCCGCGUGAGUGAAGAAGGUUUUCGGGUCGUAAAGCUCUGUUGUAAGAGAAGAAAGAGUGUGAGAGUGGAAAGCUCACACUGUGACGGUAACUUACCAGAAAGGAACGGCUAACUACGUG